GGUAGCGUGCCCGGAGCCAGUCAACCUCCCGCGGUCCGCCGCGGGAGACCAGGGAACCCGGUGAGAGGCCGGGACUGACGCGCAGCGGUGUGGGUGACGGGCGGGGCACGGUCGCAGACCAGCCACUGGAUCGAGCUGGUCCGGGAAGGCGCCCCGCACCGAUCGAUCCCGAGUCCGAAGACCUGCUGGCCCUCGCGGCAACAG
This 204-nucleotide non-coding RNA is filed under the name Nocardioides scoriae. The record is from RNAcentral. Lineage: Bacteria; Bacillati; Actinomycetota; Actinomycetes; Propionibacteriales; Nocardioidaceae.